This 683-nucleotide ribosomal RNA is filed under the name Clostridium botulinum C/D str. BKT2873. RNAcentral's name for it is "bacterial LSU rRNA". It matches the Rfam family "Bacterial large subunit ribosomal RNA", at positions 1835 to 2516 of the family's 2925-position model. The record is from RNAcentral. Lineage: Bacteria; Bacillati; Bacillota; Clostridia; Eubacteriales; Clostridiaceae.
AAGCUGAUGUAUAGGGGCUGACGCCUGCCCGGUGCUGGAAGGUUAAGGGGAAUAGUUAGCGCAAGCGAAGCUAUGAACUUAAGCCCCAGUAAACGGCGGCCGUAACUAUAACGGUCCUAAGGUAGCGAAAUUCCUUGUCGGGUAAGUUCCGACCCGCACGAAUGGCGUAAUGAUUUGAGCACUGUCUCGGCAAUAAAUCCGGUGAAAUUGUAGUGCAAGUGAAGAUGCUUGCUACCCGCGGUUGGACGGAAAGACCCCGUAGAGCUUUACUGUAGCUUAGCAUUGAAUUUCGGUAUUGUCUGUACAGGAUAGGUGGGAGACUUAGAAGCGAGGGCGUCAGCUUUCGUGGAGUCGUCCUUGGGAUACCACCCUGACAGUACUGGAAUUCUAACUGGAGGCCAUGAAUCUGGUCACAGGACAUUGCUAGGUGGGCAGUUUGACUGGGGCGGUCGCCUCCUAAAAGGUAACGGAGGCGCCCAAAGGUUCCCUCAGCGCGGUCGGAAAUCGCGCGUAGAGGGCAAAGGCAGAAGGGAGCCUGACUGCGACACAUACAGGUGGAGCAGGGACGAAAGUCGGGCUUAGUGAUCCGGUGGUUCUGUAUGGAAGGGCCAUCGCUCAACGGAUAAAAGCUACCUCGGGGAUAACAGGCUGAUCUCCCCCAAGAGUCCACAUCGACGGGGAGG